Long non-coding RNA from Sinocyclocheilus rhinocerous, 638 nucleotides. RefSeq lists it as uncharacterized. The record is from RefSeq and is a predicted model, not a curated record. The transcript is spliced from 5 exons. NCBI's taxonomy places the organism in Eukaryota, Metazoa, Chordata, Actinopteri, Cypriniformes, Cyprinidae.
ACAGAAUGUAAUUCAGAACACCUGUUUGACAUGAUAAUAACUGUGAAGAGAGUUCUUGGAAAAGGUGCUACUAUUUAGGAAACUGGAAUCAUUUUGCUUACUUGAAGGUGUACUCAACAUUGGUGUUCUGAAGUUUUCUAAAAGAAAAGCUAUUUUGCCAGAGGUUUUAACAUCCACACCACCACCACAAGAACCAUUUACAGAGUUCAAAAGCAACUGCGUAACAGGAACAACCCAGUGAACAGAACAAAAGUCAGACAGAGAAUGGAAGAGACUGAGUGUGAGACCAUAUAAUAAGCCUGACGCGCAGUCACACACAUCCGGUCCAACGCAUCGCCCUCCGUUCAUACACACUGGCUCACACACACCUGUGGAGAAAUGGAAAGAUUCAUCUCUCUUCCUCCUUGAUCAGACAGGCCAUAUGUAACUCCUCAACUAACGUCUGAUCUUGGCUCCCAGAGCGCCAUUUUCUGUCAUUUCAAUCAACAGAACAACUCUAUACCUUCCUUCCAUAUGCCGUGACUUAAAUCCCAUCAUGCCAUGUGUUUCAAAGGGGGCAUAGAGCGCGGCCCAGAAUAUCCCUCCACACAUGAGCAGAUGUUAUUUCGUACACAGUGACCACCGUUCUUGCAGGAUGG